UGGACCCACCUGAUUCCAUGCCGAACUCAGAAGUGAAACGCAAUAGCGCCGAUGGUAGUGUGGGGUUUCCCCAUGUGAGAGUAGGACAUCGCCAGGC
RNAcentral lists this ribosomal RNA (97 nucleotides) under Vibrio coralliilyticus. The record is from RNAcentral. Lineage: Bacteria; Pseudomonadati; Pseudomonadota; Gammaproteobacteria; Vibrionales; Vibrionaceae.